GCCAGACUCCUACGGGAGGCAGCAGUGGGGGAUAUUGCACAAUGGGGGAAACCCUGAUGCAGCGACGCCGCGUGAGUGAAGAAGUAUUUCGGUAUGUAAAGCUCUAUCAGCAGGGAAGAAAAAAGACGGUACCUGACUAAGAAGCCCCGGCUAACUACGUGCCAGCAGCCGCGGUAAUACGUAGGGGGCAAGCGUUAUCCGGAUUUACUGGGUGUAAAGGGAGCGUAGACGGCAAUACAAGUCGGAAGUGAAAUACCCGGGCUUAACCUGGGAACUGCUUUGGAAACUGUAUGGCUGGAGUGCUGGAGAGGUAAGCGGAAUUCCUAGUGUAGCGGUGAAAUGCGUAGAUAUUAGGAGGAACACCAGUGGCGAAGGCGGCUUACUGGACAGUAACUGACGUUGAGGCUCGAAAGCGUGGGGAGCAAACAGGAUUAGAUACCCCCGUAA
RNAcentral lists this ribosomal RNA (447 nucleotides) under uncultured bacterium. RNAcentral describes it as "bacterial SSU rRNA". It matches the Rfam family "Bacterial small subunit ribosomal RNA", at positions 330 to 793 of the family's 1533-position model. The record is from RNAcentral.